CUCGGAAGAUCAUACCUAGAGUUGAGGCUUUGCCUGCUAUCUCUUACCCAUGUCUUUUGAGUACCUUACGUUUCCUCGGUGGGUUCGCCCACCGAUUGGACAAACUUUAAACCCUUUGCAGUUGAAAUCAGCGUCUGAAAAAACUUAAUAGUUACAACUUUCAACAACGGAUCUCUUGGUUCUGGCAUCGAUGAAGAACGCAGCGAAAUGCGAUAAGUAGUGUGAAUUGCAGAAUUCAGUGAAUCAUCGAAUCUUUGAACAGCACAUUGCAGCCCCUUGGUAUUCCAUGGGGCAUGCCUGUUCGAGCGUCAUUUGUACCUUCAAGCUCUGCUUGGUGUUGGGUGUUUGUCUCCUGUAGACUCGCUCUUAAAACAAUUGGCAGCCGGCGUAUUGAUUUCGGAGCGCUAGUACAUCUCGCGCUUUGCACUCAUAACGACGACAUCCAAAAGUACAUUUUUACACUCUUGACCUCGGAUCAGGUAGGGAUACCCGCG
RNAcentral lists this ribosomal RNA (494 nucleotides) under Ampelomyces sp. Po58. RNAcentral's name for it is "eukaryotic LSU rRNA". The stretch from base 156 to 311 matches the Rfam family "5.8S ribosomal RNA". The record is from RNAcentral. Lineage: Eukaryota; Fungi; Ascomycota; Dothideomycetes; Pleosporales; Phaeosphaeriaceae.